RNAcentral lists this ribosomal RNA (446 nucleotides) under uncultured bacterium. RNAcentral describes it as "partial 16S ribosomal RNA". It matches the Rfam family "Bacterial small subunit ribosomal RNA", at positions 338 to 795 of the family's 1533-position model. The record is from RNAcentral.
CCUACGGGAGACAGCAGUCGAGAAUCAUUCACAAUGGGGGAAACCCUGAUGGUGCGACGCCGCGUGGGGGAAUGAAGGUCUUCGGAUUGUAAACCCCUGUCAUGUGGGAGCAAAUUAAAAAGAUAGUACCACAAGAGGAAGAGACGGCUAACUCUGUGCCAGCAGCCGCGGUAAUACAGAGGUCUCAAGCGUUGUUCGGAAUCACUGGGCGUAAAGCGUGCGUAGGCUGUUUCGUAAGUCGUGUGUGAAAGGCGCGGGCUCAACCCGCGGACGGCACAUGAUACUGCGAGACUAGAGUAAUGGAGGGGGAACCGGAAUGCUCGGUGUAGCAGGGAAAUGCGGAGAUAUCGAGAGGAACACUCGUGGCGAAGGCGGGUUCCUGGACAUUAACGGACGCUGAGGCACGAAGGCCAGGGGAGCGAAAGGGAUUAGAGACCCGAGUAGUC